AGAGUUUGAUCCUGGCUCAGGAUGAACGCUGGCGGUCUGCUAACACAUGCAAGUCGAACGCAGUACUUCGGUACUGAGUGGCGGACGGGUGAGUAACGCGUGAGAAUCUGCCUAGAGGUCGGGGACAACCAUUGGAAACGAUGGCUAAUACCGGAUAUGCCUUAAGGGGUGAAAGAUUUAUUGCCUUUAGAAGAGCUCGCGUCUGAUUAGCUAGUUGGUAGGGUAAAAGCCUACCAAGGCAUCGAUCAGUAGCUGGUCUGAGAGGAUGACCAGCCACACUGGGACUGAGACACGGCCCAGACUCCUACGGGAGGCAGCAGUGGGGAAUUUUCCGCAAUGGGCGAAAGCCUGACGGAGCAAGACCGCGUGAGGGAGGAAGGCUCUUGGGUUGUAAACCUCUUUUGUCAGGGAAGAACACAAUGACGGUACCUGACGAAUCAGCAUCGGCUAACUCCGUGCCAGCAGCCGCGGUAAUACGGAGGAUGCAAGCGUUAUCCGGAAUUAUUGGGCGUAAAGCGUCCGCAGGUGGCUAAUCAAGUCUGCGGUCAAAGACCGGGGCUUAACCCUGGAAAGGCCGUGGAAACUGAUAGAGCUAGAGUACCGUAGGGGUAGAGGGAAUUCCCGGUGUAGCGGUGAAAUGCGUAGAGAUCGGGAAGAACAUCGGUGGCGAAAGCGCUCUACUGGACGGUGACUGACACUCAGGGACGAAAGCUAGGGGAGCGAAUGGGAUUAGAUACCCUAGUAGUCC
This 748-nucleotide ribosomal RNA is filed under the name uncultured bacterium. Its description in RNAcentral is "bacterial SSU rRNA". It matches the Rfam family "Bacterial small subunit ribosomal RNA", at positions 8 to 796 of the family's 1533-position model. The record is from RNAcentral.